RNAcentral lists this ribosomal RNA (433 nucleotides) under uncultured bacterium. RNAcentral describes it as "partial 16S ribosomal RNA". It matches the Rfam family "Bacterial small subunit ribosomal RNA", at positions 29 to 507 of the family's 1533-position model. The record is from RNAcentral.
AACGAACGCUGGCGGCAUGCCUAACACAUGCAAGUCGAACGAGACCUUCGGGUCUAGUGGCGCACGGGUGCGUAACGCGGGGGAACCUGCCCUUAGGUUCGGAAUAACUCCCCGAAGGGGGUGCUAAUACCGGAUAAUGUCUUCGGACCAAAGAUUUAUCGCCUUUGGAUGGGCCCGCGUUGGAUUAGCUAGUUGGUAGGGUAAAAGCCUACCAAGGCGACGAUCCAUAGCUGGUCUGAGAGGAUGAGCAGCCACACUGGGACUGAGACACGGCCCAGACUCCUACGGGAGGCAGCAGUGGGGAAUAUUGGACAAUGGGCGAAAGCCUGAUCCAGCAAUGCCGCGUGAGUGAUGAAGGCCGUAGGGUUGUAAAGCUCUUUUACCCGGGAUGAUAAUGACAGUACCGGGAGAAUAAGCUCCGGCUAACUCCGUG